GCAGGAGUGGCGGAAUUGGCAUACGCGCAUGACUAAGGAUCAUGUUCCUUACGGAUUGAGGGUUCAAAUCCCUCCUCCUGCA
Molecule: transfer RNA, 82 nt
Filed under: Candidatus Omnitrophota bacterium
Lineage: Bacteria; Pseudomonadati; Candidatus Omnitrophota
Description: tRNA-Leu
Rfam family: tRNA
About the family: Transfer RNA (tRNA) molecules are approximately 80 nucleotides in length. Their secondary structure includes four short double-helical elements and three loops (D, anti-codon, and T loops).
Source: RNAcentral